RNAcentral lists this ribosomal RNA (453 nucleotides) under uncultured bacterium. Its description in RNAcentral is "bacterial SSU rRNA". It matches the Rfam family "Bacterial small subunit ribosomal RNA", at positions 8 to 507 of the family's 1533-position model. The record is from RNAcentral.
AGAGUUUGAUCAUGGCUCAGAACGAACGCUGGCGGCAUGCCUAACACAUGCAAGUCGAACGAGACCUUCGGGUCUAGUGGCGCACGGGUGCGUAACGCGUGGGGAUCUGCCCUUUGCUUCGGAAUAACAGUUAGAAAUGACUGCUAAUACCGGAUGAUGACUUCGGUCCAAAGAUUUAUCGGCAAAGGAUGAACCCGCGUAGGAUUAGCUAGUUGGUGGGGUAAAGGCCUACCAAGGCGACGAUCCUUAGCUGGUCUGAGAGGAUGAUCAGCCACACUGGGACUGAGACACGGCCCAGACUCCUACGGGAGGCAGCAGUGGGGAAUAUUGGACAAUGGGCGAAAGCCUGAUCCAGCAAUGCCGCGUGAGUGAUGAAGGCCUUAGGGUUGUAAAGCUCUUUUACCCGGGAUGAUAAUGACAGUACCGGGAGAAUAAGCUCCGGCUAACUCCGUG